GACGAACGCUGGCGGCGUGCUUAACACAUGCAAGUCGAACGGUAAGGCCCUUCGGGGUACACGAGUGGCGAACGGGUGAGUAACACGUGGGUAAUCUGCCCUGCACUUCGGGAUAAGCCUGGGAAACUGGGUCUAAUACCGGAUAGGACCACUGCCUGCAUGGGUGGUGGUGGAAAGCUUUUGCGGUGUGGGAUGGGCCCGCGGCCUAUCAGCUUGUUGGUGGGGUGAUGGCCUACCAAGGCGACGACGGGUAGCCGGCCUGAGAGGGUGACCGGCCACACUGGGACUGGGAUACGGCCCAGACUCCUACGGGAGGCAGCAGUGGGGAAUAUUGCACAAUGGGCGCAAGCCUGAUGCAGCGACGCCGCGUGAGGGAUGACGGCCUUCGGGUUGUAAACCUCUUUCAGCAUCGACGAAGCGAAAGUGACGGCAGGUGCAGAAGAAGGACCGGCCAACUACGUGCCAGCCGCCGCCGUAA
This 478-nucleotide ribosomal RNA is filed under the name uncultured bacterium. RNAcentral's name for it is "partial 16S ribosomal RNA". It matches the Rfam family "Bacterial small subunit ribosomal RNA", at positions 28 to 523 of the family's 1533-position model. The record is from RNAcentral.